GCAGUCGUGGCCGAGUGGUUAAGGCCAUGGACUAGAAAUCCAUUGGGGUCUCCCCGCACAGGUUUGAAUCCUGUCGACUGCG
Non-coding RNA from Ixodes scapularis (black-legged tick), 82 nucleotides. NCBI's taxonomy places the organism in Eukaryota, Metazoa, Arthropoda, Arachnida, Ixodida, Ixodidae. The record is from Rfam.